CCUACGGGAGGCAGCAGUGAGGAAUAUUGGUCAAUGGACGAGAGUCUGAACCAGCCAAGUAGCGUGAAGGAUGACUGCCCUAUGGGUUGUAAACUUCUUUUAUAUGGGAAUAAAAUGUUCCACGUGUGGGAUUUUGUAUGUACCAUAUGAAUAAGGAUCGGCUAACUCCGUGCCAGCAGCCGCGGUAAUACAGAGGAUCCGAGCGUUAUCCGGAUUUAUUGGGUUUAAAGGGAGCGUAGGUGGAUUGUUAAGUCAGUUGUGAAAGUUUGCGGCUCAACCGUAAAAUUGCAGUUGAAACUGGCAGUCUUGAGUACAGUAGAGGUGGGCGGAAUUCGUGGUGUAGCGGUGAAAUGCUUAGAGAUCACGAAGAACUCCGAUUGCGAAGGCAGUUCACUGGACUGCAACUGACACUGAGGCUCGAAAGUGUGGGUAUCAAACAGGAUUAGAUACCCCUGUAGUC
RNAcentral lists this ribosomal RNA (460 nucleotides) under uncultured bacterium. RNAcentral describes it as "partial 16S ribosomal RNA". It matches the Rfam family "Bacterial small subunit ribosomal RNA", at positions 338 to 795 of the family's 1533-position model. The record is from RNAcentral.